RNAcentral lists this non-coding RNA (37 nucleotides) under unclassified sequences. RNAcentral describes it as "abiF RNA". It matches the Rfam family "abiF RNA". The record is from Rfam by way of RNAcentral.
CUUACUAAGCCUCUCAACGAUGCUCAAACCUGGAGGU